AAGUCGUAACAAGGUUUCCGUAGGUGAACCUGCGGAAGGAUCAUUAUAGAGAUUGGUUGGGUAACACCUUCCAAACCUCCCACCCUAUGUUUACAUUACCUUUGUUGCUUUGGUAGGCCCGUCUUUGGACCGCCGGCUUCGGCUGGCCAGUGCCUACCAGAGGAUCCAACUCUGAAUAUAUGUAGUCCGAGCACUUUAAAACAGUUAAAA
RNAcentral lists this unclassified non-coding RNA (210 nucleotides) under plant metagenome. Its description in RNAcentral is "partial contains small subunit ribosomal RNA and internal transcribed spacer 1". The stretch from base 1 to 46 matches the Rfam family "Eukaryotic small subunit ribosomal RNA", at positions 1786 to 1831 of the family's 1831-position model. The record is from RNAcentral.